AUGCUUACAGUACAACAGCUUUCACCAACAGUGACUGAUGUUCAUGAACUCCAGAAGAAUGGGCAAUAUGUAGGGUUCCACCAAGGUUCCUAUAUAGAGGGUCUACUGCUGGAUAUUGGUUUUCAUACAUCAAAAAUCAGGCCCUAUGCUACACCUGACGAUUUCUAUAGUGCUCUUUCUAAUGGAAGCAUUGCUGCGCUUGUACAUGAAGUCCCAUACAUCAAAUUUUUUCUCGCAAAAUACAGCAAAGGUUACACAAUGGUAGCGCCUAUUUACAAGAGUGUAGGAUUUGCAUUUGCGCUUCCCAGGAAUUCUCCGCUAGCUCCUGAAAUGUCGAGGGCAAUAGUCAACAUAACAGAAGGAGAUACUAUCAUUCAAUUUGAAAAGAAAUGGAUAGGUCAAAAUAGCCAUGAAAAUGAUGGCACACUUGACGGUUCAGACGCCAUAACUUUUGAAAGUUUUGGGGGAUUAUUCGCUCUAACUGGAAUUGUGACAACCUAUUGCCUUUUGGUAGACAUGGUGAUGAGCUGCUACAAAAAAUGUCGACAAAAUGCAGGGAACAUAGGAGAGGUGGCCAAAAUGAAUGUGGGCAUGGGCAAAAAGAAGAGGAAACGGGAGAACAAAGGAUAUGACCAAAGGGAGUAUGGACAUGGGCAAAGGAAAAAUAGGAAAUGGAAGAGCAAAGAGAUCAAAAGAGCAAUGGAAACGGGAACUGAAUUGAUAGGGAGCCAAACAACACUGUCAGAAAUCGUCACCAGCUACCCAUGUCAGUGC
RNAcentral lists this ribosomal RNA (774 nucleotides) under Triticum aestivum (bread wheat). RNAcentral's name for it is "partial small subunit ribosomal RNA". Lineage: Eukaryota; Viridiplantae; Streptophyta; Magnoliopsida; Poales; Poaceae. The record is from RNAcentral.